RNAcentral lists this ribosomal RNA (449 nucleotides) under uncultured bacterium. RNAcentral's name for it is "bacterial SSU rRNA". It matches the Rfam family "Bacterial small subunit ribosomal RNA", at positions 355 to 801 of the family's 1533-position model. The record is from RNAcentral.
UGGGGAAUAUUGGACAAUGGGUGAGAGCCUGAUCCAGCCAUGCCGCGUGCAGGAAGAAGGCGUUAUGCGUUGUAAACUGCUUUUUGCCAGGGGAUAAAAAGACCGUGCGCGGUUAAUUGAAGGUACCUGGUGAAUAAGCCACGGCUAACUACGUGCCAGCAGCCGCGGUAAUACGUAGGUGGCAAGCGUUGUCCGGAUUUAUUGGGUUUAAAGGGUGCGUAGGUGGCCCUGUAAGUCAGUGGUGAAAUAUCUCAGCUUAACUGAGAGGGUGCCAUUGAUACUGCAGGGCUUGAGUACAGAUGAGGUAGGCGGAAUUGACGGUGUAGCGGUGAAAUGCAUAGAUAUCGUCAAGAACACCGAUAGCGAAGGCAGCUUACCAAGCUGUAACUGACACUGAGGCACGAAAGUGUGGGGAUCAAACAGGAUUAGAUACCCUAGUAGUCCCUGAG